This 207-nucleotide ribosomal RNA is filed under the name uncultured bacterium. Its description in RNAcentral is "partial 16S ribosomal RNA". It matches the Rfam family "Bacterial small subunit ribosomal RNA", at positions 568 to 774 of the family's 1533-position model. The record is from RNAcentral.
CACGUAGGCGGAUUUUUAAGUCAGGGGUGAAAUCCCAAGGCUCAACCUUGGAACUGCCUUUGAUACUGGAAGUCUCGAGUCCGGGAGAGGUGAGUGGAACUGCGAGUGUAGAGGUGAAAUUCGUAGAUAUUCGCAAGAACACCAGUGGCGAAGGCGGCUCACUGGCCCGGAACUGACGCUGAGGUGCGAAAGCGUGGGGAGCAAACA